UACAGAGGUCUCAAGCGUUGUUCGGAUUCAUUGGGCGUAAAGGGUGCGUAGGCGGCGCGGUAAGUCGGGUGUGAAAUCUCGGAGCUUAACUCCGAAACUGCAUUCGAUACUGCCGUGCUUGAGGACUGGAGAGGAGACUGGAAUUUACGGUGUAGCGGUGAAAUUCGUAGAUAUCGGGAGGAACACCGGUGGCGAAGGCGGCGACCUGGGUAGAUACUGACGCUGAGGCGCGAAAGCGUGGGGAGCAAACAGG
This 253-nucleotide ribosomal RNA is filed under the name uncultured bacterium. Its description in RNAcentral is "partial 16S ribosomal RNA". It matches the Rfam family "Bacterial small subunit ribosomal RNA", at positions 524 to 776 of the family's 1533-position model. The record is from RNAcentral.